This 5620-nucleotide long non-coding RNA is filed under the name Sorghum bicolor (sorghum). Its description in RNAcentral is "long non-coding RNA (SBIC_LNC002456)". Lineage: Eukaryota; Viridiplantae; Streptophyta; Magnoliopsida; Poales; Poaceae. The record is from RNAcentral.
GGUGCCAAGCCCACUGCAAGUUCCACAUGUCCAGUCAAGGCCCAGGAGGGACAAGAAGCCCAACUCGCGGUGCGUCGGCCCAAGUUGGACCAAGUAGGAAGAGAGUAUAAGUAGGCAUGAGAAGGAGAGACUCAGACAUGAACAGAAAGAUGUAAAAACCUAAUUCAGUUUUAAUCAUUCAUCGUAGCUUCAUUCCUGUAUUGUAUCUUCCUAUUCCUUUUCCUACCCUAGCGCCGCCGGUGCUAACAUCUGGUAUCGGACGUCUCUUCCAUCCUGGACAAUCCCUCUUCCUCGCCUACUUCCCCUCCUCCGCCGCCACCUCCCCACCCCCACUUCACCCGCCUGAAUCGUGCUCGCGGUGCCAUGGAUCCUUCCCUCAAGCGCAUCCUCGACACGCUCAACUCUCGCUUCGACGAGUUCGACCGCCGCCUGGACGAUCGCGACCGGGUCUUCGCCGACCGCACCGGUACCGUCGACUCCCGGUUUGCCUCCCUGGAGACCACCAUCGCCGCUCAAGCAUCUGGGAUUGAGGUACGCCUGGCCGGGAUCGAAGCCCAGCUGCCGGAUCUUGCGUCUUCGUCCGUCACGACCGCGUCGGAUCCGCGGCUCGACGCCAUCGCGCGUGUCUCGGCCGAUCUAGAGUUGUGGCGACCUAGCAUGGAGGGCGCCCUCGACGACAUCCAGAAGGUCGUCCAGAAGCUGGUGAAGAACAUGGACCGCUCGGUGCUCGACGAAUUGCCUCAAUGCCCCGGCGCGGCUUCCUCUCCACCGGCAUCGUCGGCUUCCGCCUCGGCAGCCGGCCUGUGUGCCACAUCGCCUAGCGGGCACCGCCUCGACAUGACUACACGGGAUGUUGGGUCUGGAGUCGUCAUGACUUGGACCCAUGUCCCGGCCAAUGGUAUGCCCCAUUCCACUCCAUCUCGCGUACAUUCGUCGGAGUUCCGUCCGCCUCCGGUUGCAAUUCCUCUGAGGCCAUCGCUUGAACCUGUGUACCACCCUCCCCCCAAUCCAUUCCACCCACCACCAGCCGCGUCUCAACCCACAUAUCAUCCUCGACUUCCACCUCCACACUAUUCGAGCCCCACCUUCAAUUCCAGCCAUCCCUUCCCUUCAAUUCCCAACCUGAAUACUUACCAGGAUCCCCACCGUUCUCAACCAUUGUCUAGCCGCCUGCCUAAGCUUCCGUUUCCCACGUUUGAUGGCACUAAUCCUAAGCGCUGGAGAUCCUUGUGCGAGAAGUAUUUCGCCACCUAUGCAGUCGAUCCUCUCCUCUGGGUAGGCUUGGUGGAACAUUAUAUGGAAGGUCCUGCCGGGAUUUGGUACCAAUCCAUUGCUCCUCAACUUCCAUGCACCACUUGGGACUCUUUCUGUUCCUUACUGCAUGAGCGUUUUGAUCGUGAUCAGCAUGAGUUCCUCCUCCGCCAACUGUUCAAUAUUCGCCAGCAAACCUCUGUUUCCGCAUAUGCUACAGCUUUUUCUGAAUUGGUUGAUCAGAUUAAGUCUUAUUGUCCCAAUUCUGAUCCAUUGUUUUUUCCUCAAUGUUUCAUUGAUGGCCUUCGUCAGGACAUUAAAGCUAUCGUUCUUGUUCAGCGUCCCCAAAAUUUCGAUGCUGCUGUUCGCUUGGCUUUGUUGCAGGAAGAGGUGGGCACUCUGUCGUGUUCCAUCGACUACGACUCCGCCGCUGCCGCUCCCUCCACCGCCUCCUCGACUGGACAAGACGGCCGCCCCUGCUACUAUUACUGUGGCAGGAACGGGCGGGCCACCUGCUCAUCAAACCUUGGCUGCUGUCAAGGCCUACAGGCGCGCUCUGGGCCUUUGUUACAAAUGCAAUGCCAAGUGGAGUAAGGACCAUGUUUGUGCUCCUGAGGUUCUUCAUGCAGUUGACGCUCUUUGGGAAUCCUUUUCGUCAGAAGAUUCGCUGGCCGACUCAGUGGAGGAACUCUCUGCCACUGAACAGUGUUGCUUGGCUAUUUCCAAAUCUGCUCUCGUGGGAAUGCCAGCGUCUCGUUCCAUUUGUUUCUAGGGAUUUCUUCAGUCAAUUCCAGUGCAAAUUUUGAUUGAUUCUGGCAGCUCAUCAUCUUUUGUCAAUGCAUCCCUGGUGCCUCAGCUAACCAAUAUAACUGCAAUUCCAGUAUCAACAUCAGUGAUGGUGGCAGGUGGCACUCAGCUUUCCAGCUCCUCCAUGCUGCUCCAGGUGCCUUGGUCUGUUGGUAAUUGUGAGUUUCAGUCAGACUUUCGGGCCUUGCCUUUGGGUUCAUUUGAUGUUGUUGUUGGUAUGGACUGGUUAUCUUCCUACAGCCCUAUGCAGAUUCACUGGCAAGCGAAAUGGAUGGCUAUUCCUUAUAAAGGACAGUGGACAGUGCUGCAAGGUCUUCAGCCUGCUUAUCCGGCACAAGUGCUCCUUCACAUUGAUACCAUGGAGUGUCUGUCACCGACCUCUGUGAUGUCCGAGCCGCUACCAGUUCCACUUCAAGCACUGCUCGAGGAGUAUUCUGAUUUGUUUCAGCCUCCCAGGUCAUUACCCCCUUCUAGAGCUUGCGAUCAUGAGAUAUCUCUGAUUCCAGGUGCCACACCUGUGUUUGUGCGGCCUUACCGGUACCCACCAAAGCUCAAGGUUGAGAUUGAAACCCAAGUGCAAGAACUGUUGUCUCAGGGUUUGAUUCGUCAUAGUCAGAGCCCUUUCUCAUCUCCGGUUCUCUUGGUCCGCAAAAAGGAUGGCGGAUAUAGAUUCUGUGUGGACUUUCGCCAUCUCAACGCUUUAACUAUGAAGUCCAAGUUUCUUGUACCAGUAUUUGACCAGCUGAUGGACGAGCUUGCACAUGCUUGUUGGUUUACGACCUUGGAUUUGCGAGCGGGAUUUCACCAGAUCUUGUUACGCGAAGGUGAGCAGUUCAAAACAGCCUUCCAAACCCACCUCGGUCAGUAUGAGUUCAAUGUGAUGGCCUUUGGACUUACAGGAGCACCGGGCACAUUCCAGGGUGCCAUGAACGUGACCCUUGCCCCUGGUUUGCACAAGUUUGUUAUUGUAUUUUUUGAUGACAUCCUCAUCUUCAGCUCUACAUUUGAAUCCUGCGGCGUGAUCAGUGGAAGUUGAAACAGUCCAAAUGCACCUUCGCUCAGCAGUCCAUAUCUUAUUUGGGUCACGUGAUCAGUGCUGCAGGAUUGUCUACUGAUCCUGCAAAAGUCCGCGUCGUGACUGAAUGGCCCGUGCCAGCUAAUCUUCGGGAGCUCCGUGGUUUCUUGGGUCUCGCCGGGUACUACCGGAAAUUUGUUCGGCACUUUGGUAUUAUCGCUAAGCCUCUUACUGAGCUGCUCAAAAAGGAUCAGGUUUUUGUUUGGACCACGGCCCAUAAUGACGCUUUUUCCUUGCUGAAGUCGGCUCUGUCUUCAGCACCAGUGUUGGCUUUGCCCGAUUUCUCCCGUCCUUUUCAUAUUGAGACUAAUGCUUCAGGGUUUGGGAUUGGCGUAGUGUUGCAGCAAGAUAAUCAUCAUAUUGCCUUCAUCAGUAAAUCUCUUAGCAAAUGCAACCAGGGUCUCACUGUGUAUGAGAAAGAGUACCUCGCUAUCCUGCUAGCAGUGGAUACCUGGCGGCAUUAUUUGUUGCAAGCGGAAUUCUUCAUACACACCGAUCACCAAAGCCUCACUCAUCUCAAUGAGCAGCGCCUACAUACGGCUUGGCAACAGAAGGUGUUUGCUCGUCUUAUGGGACUGCAGUAUAAAAUCUUGUACAAGAAAGGUGUUGAGAAUGGAGCAGCUGAUGCAUUAUCCAGGCGUCGCCAUCCAGAACAAUUGCUGGCCAUAUCUUCUGUUAAACACCAGUGGUUGGAAGCUGUCGUGCUCAGCUACCAGAAUCACUCUGAAGCGUUGAAGUUGCUUGCCCAACUGGCCACACAGCCUGGUGCUCAUCCUCAUUAUUCCUUGGUGCAAGGGAUCAUUCGCUACAAAGGUCGUGUGUGGCUCGAAUCUUCCAAGGCUAUUCAACAGCAGGUAUUGUCAGCAUUUCAUGCUAGCCCUGUGGGGGGUCAUUCUGGCGCUCCUGCGACGUAUUCACGUUUGAAGCAGCUAUUCUUUUGGCAUGGUAUGAAAGCGGAUGUUUGGCGUAUGGUGCAGUCCUGCUCUGUAUGCUUACAAGCCAAACCUGAUCACGCUCGUUAUCCCGGGCUGCUGCAACCUCUACCAGUUCCAUCAGCUUCUUGGGAAAUAAUUUCAAUGGACUUUGUCGAAGGUCUUCCUACUUCCGGAUCUGCAAAUGCAAUCUUGGUGGUCGUUGAUAAGUUUUGGAAGUUCGCUCAUUUCAUUGCAUUGAAGCACCCUUUCACUGCACAGACUGUGGCACAACUUUUUCUGGACAAUAUCUAUUGCCUGCAUGGGUUGCCCAAGUCCAUCAUUUCUGACCGCGACAAGAUUUUCACCAGUCAGUUUUGGCAGUCCCUGUUCAAGGCCGCAGGCACGAAUCUUUGUUUAAGCUCUUCAUACCACCCACAGUCCGACGGCCAAACUGAACGGGUAAAUCAAUGCCUUGAGACCUUUCUCCGCUGUUUUGUACAUUCUUGCCCUUCACAGUGGCGCCGCUGGUUAUCUCUGGCUGAGUAUUGGUAUAACACAUCUCUACAUUCCGCAUUGGGCCGAUCCCCCUUUGAGGUGCUGUGUGGCUGCUCUCCUAGGCACAUGGGUCUGGAUGUUGAGUCGACUGCCCCAGUCUCAGAUUUACAGUCCUGGUUGUCUCAGCGCGCUCAUAUGCAGGAGCUCAUUCAUCAACACCUGUUGCGUGCCCAGGACCGCAUGAAGCGUCAAGCUGAUAAAGGACGUUCUGAAAGGGAGUUUGCUGUGGGUGACAACGUCUUUCUCAAGCUGCAGCCUUAUGUUCAGUCAUCUUUGGCUCGCCGUGCAAAUCACAAGUUGUCAUUCCGUUUCUUUGGUCCUUACAAGGUGAUACAGAAGAUCGGCUCUGUGGCUUAUAAGUUGGAACUGCCGUCUUCGUUCUCUAUUCACCCGGUGUUCCAUGUUUCUCAGCUGAAGCUGUCUCCUGGGGUCAGCUUGUGUCCUCUGCCUUACCGUCUGACUUGCAAGUGUUCUAGGUACCUCUUCGCAUUUUGCAGCGGCGCUGGACUGCUGGUGAUCAUCCACUGGAGCAGGGUCUCAUCCAGUGGUCACAUACACCUCCUGAACUGGCGACUUGGGAGCCACUCGUCACUCUUCGUCAGCAGUUUCCACAUGCGCCGGCCUGGGGUCAUGCCGGCUCUGAAGGCCAGGGGGAUGUUAGCAGUGCUACAUUACAUCGACACCUGCAGGAGGAGAACCGGUGCCAAGCCCACUGCAAGUUCCACAUGUCCAGUCAAGGCCCAGGAGGGACAAGAAGCCCAACUCGCGGUGUGUCGGCCCAAGUUGGACCAAGUAGGAAGAGAGUAUAAGUAGGCAUGAGAAGGAGAGACUCAGACAUGAACAGAAAGAUGUAAAAACCUAAUUCAGUUUUAAUCAUUCAUCGUAGCUUCAUUCCUGUAUUGUAUCUUCCUGUUCAUUUUCCUACCCUAGCGCUGCCGGUGCUAACACUAUCAAGCCUGAGAUGACUAAACUAGUGGUAGCCUUCCAAUAAUCAGCUCCACCAAUUGUUACUCUCUAA